This 401-nucleotide ribosomal RNA is filed under the name Clostridioides difficile. Its description in RNAcentral is "bacterial SSU rRNA". It matches the Rfam family "Bacterial small subunit ribosomal RNA", at positions 218 to 637 of the family's 1533-position model. The record is from RNAcentral. Lineage: Bacteria; Bacillati; Bacillota; Clostridia; Peptostreptococcales; Peptostreptococcaceae.
GUACAGGAUGGACCCGCGUCUGAUUAGCUAGUUGGUAAGGUAACGGCUUACCAAGGCGACGAUCAGUAGCCGACCUGAGAGGGUGAUCGGCCACAUUGGAACUGAGACACGGUCCAAACUCCUACGGGAGGCAGCAGUGGGGAAUAUUGCACAAUGGGCGAAAGCCUGAUGCAGCAACGCCGCGUGAGUGAUGAAGGCCUUCGGGCCGUAAAACUCAGACCUCAAGGAAGAUAAUGACGGUACUCGCGGAGAAAGCCCAUGCUAACUACGUGCCAGCAGCCGCGGUAAUACUGAAGGGACUAUCGUUAACAGAAUUUAACGGCGUUAAAGGGUCAGGAUGCGGUAUUCUAACUCAGGCGUGAAAGACAGCGUCUCCAACGGAGUAAGUGAUGAGAAAUGUG